UAUUUAUUCAAUGUUAGGAGAGAAUGAACUUUAUAAAUUGUAAAGUGAUAAAAUCAUUUGUUACAUACCACGAGAGGAAAUAUGGCUGAAAUUGGCAAACUAUUAGCUUGUGUUAUUAUCAUUCUUUUGCUAUUUCUUGUUGCAACAAACAUUGAAGGUAAGUCAUUCUUAACCUUUUCAAAUUUCCUUAUUUACUCCGAACACAAUAUUUUAUCACAACUAAGUUACGUUAUUUUAUUCUCUUUUUUCUCAUUACAGCGAGGAAAAGCAGUAGAUGUUUUAGUGAUUCAGAUUGUAUGAAGAACAUGUUUUGUCGACGUCCUAAGAUACAAAAGUGUAUGUACCAAUCCCUCUGCAAAUGUGUUUUGCCAGUGUUCUAAAACGAUUAUUAUGUGCCCACAUGAUUCUAUUUCGUGUCAUACCAAAGAUAUAUUGUACACAAAAGCUCAAUAAUUUGAUCUUUUUUCUAAUUUCAAGAAUAUUGUAGUUAUGGAUUUAGUAUACUCUAAGAUGAUGGUAAUGUAAUGAAAUAAAGCACCAAUUAAUAUUAUUUAGAUUGUCUUCUUCUCUUUUAAAUUUCAAAAAUGUUGCCAUGACCUUGAAUUCAAACAUAUCAUUUUUUUCUUUCCUAGCAUGCCUAUCAUAAUAUCUUUAAUAGUUAAGUUAAAAAUAGUUUUUAUAUAUGUUACUUAGUUAAGCUUAUAUAUGUUUAGAUUUAUGUCAUAAUAUUGUUACACUCAUGAUUGUUCUAAUACUUCAAUUUAUAUUUCUCUUUUAUUUAAACUUUUUUAACAGCCUCAAAGGCUUUGUUCACUUUUAAUUUUUAAAAAGAUAUGGAAAACUAGAAUGUCGUUACAAAAUUAUAACAAUCUUCUAAAAUAAUUGUGAAGAUCUUAAUUAAUUGUUUAUUUUGGUGUAUUGUCUUCAAUUUAAUAGAUCUGUAUAUAUGACUCAAUGAACCAAACUCAUUUUCCCUUGUUUUAUAGACUAAUUUGUUGUGAUUAAUUUAUUUUUUAUUUCAAAACAAAAUAUGUAUAACUAAAGCCGAUAUGAUUAUGUAAAGUAAUAAUGUAUCAUAAGAAUCAUGUGAUUUAAAAUGGUAAAUUUAUCACAGAAAAUGGUAAGAAAAAUAGGGGGAUCUAUAUUAUCCUAUGUUUAUUAGUUGAACUCUUGAAGUGAAAGUAAAAACAGGAAACAUUAAUCCCCAUGAGCUUAGCUCAGUUGAUAGGAACAUCGGACUUUAUAUGCAGGAGCCCGGAUUUCAACCUGCGACACUCCACUUUAUUCAUACAAAAAAAAGUCCUAAGCAUAUGUUAUUUUAAUAGAACUUCUUUUUUAUAGAAGUCCUACGCAUGCAUAUGUUUGGUGUAACCCCUAAUGUAUGAGGCCCUGCGCAGUGGUUCAUUUUGUACACCCAACAUGGCCGACCAUGUACAACUUAAUCUUUGAAUUUUCAUUUAUUGAUAAAUUUUAUUCUUGAAUUUAUCGAAAUAGUUAAAACAUUCUUAAUUUGUGAGUUAUAUAAAAUAUUAGUUCUUCAGCAGUUGAUUGAGGAUAAUUCAAAGAUUAAAUUGAUAUAAAUUAUGAUAAUUGAGGGAUGCAAUUGAUCAAUCGAGAGAGUGAUUAGAUUUAAUUUUCACAAAUCGAGCGACAUUUUAGUUAUUUCGAUAAAUAUAGGAAUGGAAUUGGUCGAUGAGUGAAAAUCAAGGAGUAAGUUGUUUAUUUACUUAAUAAAAAUUAUUUUAAACUUUCCACACUCACACCGGUUGUGACUUGAAGAUUCUAAUUUCGAAUUCUUUAGUGUAU
RNAcentral lists this long non-coding RNA (1806 nucleotides) under Trifolium pratense (red clover). RNAcentral describes it as "long non-coding RNA (TPRA_LNC006463)". The record is from RNAcentral. Lineage: Eukaryota; Viridiplantae; Streptophyta; Magnoliopsida; Fabales; Fabaceae.